AAAAUAUACUAACUAAAUCUUUUAGGAUUAUAUUAAAACAUAAAAUAAAUCUAUUGAAUGAAUAUUGUUCACCUUCGGUGAAUCUAAAGAUAUAUCUGAUUGCAAUAGAUUUCUAAAUAAAUAAAUCAAAAUGUGCGGCGGAUGUGGCGGAUGCGGCGGUUGCGGCGGCUGCGGUGGCUGCGGCCCUUGCUGUGGAGGGUGCGGUCCUUGCUGCGGCGGGUGCUGCCCCUCACCGUGCUGCGCGCCAUGCGGCGGUGGAUGCUGCUGUCCCAAGAUAACAAUAUACACUUGUUGUACGAAGAUUUGUUAAAGGCUGGGAUAUCGAAGGGAGCUGCUAGAAACAGCGAUCCGGAAACUGGGUGCUAUGACGUCUAUGCCCCUGGCGUCCGGACUGCCGGUAUCAGGAGCGCCCUCGCUGUGGCGUCCACACAUUGUGCCGUUUUCAGUGAUGUUUAGAAUAAAAUAAGUUAGAAAUUAUA
Molecule: long non-coding RNA, 479 nt
Organism: Trichoplusia ni (cabbage looper)
Lineage: Eukaryota; Metazoa; Arthropoda; Insecta; Lepidoptera; Noctuidae
Exons: 2
Source: RefSeq, a predicted model, not a curated record